UACGAAAGGUGCAAGCGUUGUUCGGAAUGAUUGGGCGUAAAGCGCACGUAGGCGGAUUUUUAAGUCGAUUGUGAAAGCCCCGGGCUCAACCUGGGAAUUGCAGUCGAAACUGAAAGUCUUGAAUACCUGAGGGGUUGGUGGAAUUCCAGGUGUAGGAGUGAAAUCCGUAGAUAUCUGGAGGAACAUCGGAGGCGAAGGCGGCCAACUGGCAGUGUAUUGACGCUGAGGUGCGAAAGCGUGGGGAGCAAACAGG
RNAcentral lists this ribosomal RNA (253 nucleotides) under uncultured bacterium. RNAcentral describes it as "partial 16S ribosomal RNA". It matches the Rfam family "Bacterial small subunit ribosomal RNA", at positions 524 to 776 of the family's 1533-position model. The record is from RNAcentral.